RNAcentral lists this long non-coding RNA (188 nucleotides) under Human gammaherpesvirus 8. RNAcentral describes it as "partial non-coding RNA". The record is from RNAcentral. Lineage: Duplodnaviria; Heunggongvirae; Peploviricota; Herviviricetes; Herpesvirales; Orthoherpesviridae.
GCGGCGGCACGUAGGACGGAUCUCUUGGAUUUACCUGUAACGAGGAGCGGCGCACCCCAGGAGCCCCGGCAGCACCCCAGGAGCCCCGGCAGCACCCCAGGAGCCCCGGCAGCACCCCAGGAGCCCCGGCAGCACCCCAGGAGCCCCGGCAGCACCCCAGGAGCCCCGGCAGCACCCCAGGAGCCCCG